UGUUUCGGCAAGGGGGUCAUCCCGACUUACCAACCCGAUGCAAACUGCGAAUACCGGAGAAUGUUAUCACGGGAGACACACGGCGGGUGCUAACGUCCGUCGUGAAGAGGGAAACAACCCAGACCGCCAGCUAAGGUCCCAAAGUCAUGGUUAAGUGGGAAACGAUGUGGGAAGGCCCAGACAGCCAGGAUGUUGGCUUAGAAGCAGCCAUCAUUUAAAGAAAGCGUAAUAGCUCACUGGUCGAGUCGGCCUGCGCGGAAGAUGUAACGGGGCUAAACCAUGCACCGAAGCUGCGGCAGCGACGCUUAUGCGUUGUUGGGUAGGGGAGCGUUCUGUAAGCCUGUGAAGGUGUGCUGUGAGGCAUGCUGGAGGUAUCAGAAGUGCGAAUGCUGACAUAAGUAACGAUAAAGCGGGUGAAAAGCCCGCUCGCCGGAAGACCAAGGGUUCCUGUCCAACGUUAAUCGGGGCAGGGUGAGUCGACCCCUAAGGCGAGGCCGAAAGGCGUAGUCGAUGGGAAACAGGUUAAUAUUCCUGUACUUGGUGUUACUGCGAAGGGGGGACGGAGAAGGCUAUGUUGGCCGGGCGACGGUUGUCCCGGUUUAAGCGUGUAGGCUGGUUUUCCAGGCAAAUCCGGAAAAUCAAGGCUGAGGCGUGAUGACGAGGCACUACGGUGCUGAAGCAACAAAUGCCCUGCUUCCAGGAAAAGCCUCUAAGCAUCAGGUAACAUCAAAUCGUACCCCAAACCGACACAGGUGGUCAGGUAGAGAAUACCAAGGCGCUUGAGAGAACUCGGGUGAAGGAACUAGGCAAAAUGGUGCCGUAACUUCGGGAGAAGGCACGCUGAUAUGUAGGUGAAGCGACUUGCUCGUGGAGCUGAAAUCAGUCGAAGAUACCAGCUGGCUGCAACUGUUUAUUAAAAACACAGCACUGUGCAAACACGAAAGUGGACGUAUACGGUGUGACGCCUGCCCGGUGCCGGAAGGUUAAUUGAUGGGGUCAGCGCAAGCGAAGCUCUUGAUCGAAGCCCCGGUAAACGGCGGCCGUAACUAUAACGGUCCUAAGGUAGCGAAAUUCCUUGUCGGGUAAGUUCCGACCUGCACGAAUGGCGUAAUGAUGGCCAGGCUGUCUCCACCCGAGACUCAGUGAAAUUGAACUCGCUGUGAAGAUGCAGUGUACCCGCGGCAAGACGGAAAGACCCCGUGAACCUUUACUAUAGCUUGACACUGAACAUUGAGCCUUGAUG
Molecule: ribosomal RNA, 1243 nt
Filed under: Escherichia coli
Lineage: Bacteria; Pseudomonadati; Pseudomonadota; Gammaproteobacteria; Enterobacterales; Enterobacteriaceae
Description: partial 23S ribosomal RNA
Rfam family: Bacterial large subunit ribosomal RNA
Source: RNAcentral